GACGUAGGGGGCCAGCGUUGUUCGGAAUUACUGGGUGUAAAGGGUUCGUAGGCGGUGCGGCAAGUCGGGAGUGAAAUCUCUGGGCUCAACCCAGAGGCUGCUUCCGAAACUGCUGUGCUUGAGUGUGGGAGAGGCGCGUGGAAUUGCAGGUGUAGCGGUGAAAUGCGUAGAUAUCUGCAGGAACACCCGUGGCGAAAGCGGCGCGCUGGACCACUACUGACGCUGAAGAACGAAAGCUAGGGGAGCAAACGGG
RNAcentral lists this ribosomal RNA (253 nucleotides) under uncultured bacterium. RNAcentral describes it as "partial 16S ribosomal RNA". It matches the Rfam family "Bacterial small subunit ribosomal RNA", at positions 524 to 776 of the family's 1533-position model. The record is from RNAcentral.